GCUUCGGUGGUGCAAUGGGUUAGUGCAUGGCACUAAAAAGAUAGUGUGAGCAAUGCCAAGGGUGUGAGUUCAAGUCUCACCUGGAGCA
This 88-nucleotide transfer RNA is filed under the name Otolemur garnettii (small-eared galago). It matches the Rfam family "tRNA". From Rfam's summary of the family: Transfer RNA (tRNA) molecules are approximately 80 nucleotides in length. Their secondary structure includes four short double-helical elements and three loops (D, anti-codon, and T loops). Lineage: Eukaryota; Metazoa; Chordata; Mammalia; Primates; Galagidae. The record is from Rfam by way of RNAcentral.